CCUGACGCAGCAACGCCGCGUGGGGGAUGAAGGCCUUCGGGUUGUAAACCUCUUUCAGCAGGGGAGAAGCCGCAAGGUGACGGUACCUGCAGAAGAAGGACCGGCUAACUACGUGCCAGCAGCCGCGGUAAUACGUAGGGUCCGAGCGUUGUCCGGAAUUAUUGGGCGUAAAGAGCUCGUAGGUGGUGUGUCGCGUCGGAUGUGAAAUCCCGGGGCUUAACUCCGGGUCUGCAUUCGGUACGGGCAUGCUGGAGUUCGGUAGGGGAGACUGGAAUUCCUGGUGUAGCGGUGAAAUGCGCAGAUAUCAGGAGGAACACCGGUGGCGAAGGCGGGUCCCUGGGCCAAUACUGACACUGAGGAGCGAAAGCGUGGGGAGCGAACAGGAUUAGAUACCCUGGUAGUCCACGCUGUAAACGUUGGGAACUAGGUGUGGGCGACAUUCCACGUUGUCUGCGCCGCAGCUAACGCAUUAAGUUCCCCGCCUGGGGAGUACGGCCGCAAG
RNAcentral lists this ribosomal RNA (502 nucleotides) under uncultured Actinomycetes bacterium. RNAcentral describes it as "bacterial SSU rRNA". It matches the Rfam family "Bacterial small subunit ribosomal RNA", at positions 382 to 892 of the family's 1533-position model. Lineage: Bacteria; Bacillati; Actinomycetota; Actinomycetes. The record is from RNAcentral.